Molecule: ribosomal RNA, 893 nt
Filed under: uncultured Halomonas sp.
Lineage: Bacteria; Pseudomonadati; Pseudomonadota; Gammaproteobacteria; Oceanospirillales; Halomonadaceae
Description: bacterial SSU rRNA
Rfam family: Bacterial small subunit ribosomal RNA
Source: RNAcentral
UUUGAUCCUGGCUCAGAUUGAACGCUGGCGGCAGGCCUAACACAUGCAAGUCGAGCGGCAGCACGGGAAGCUUGCUUCCUGGUGGCGAGCGGCGGACGGGUGAGUAAUGCAUAGGAAUCUGCCCGGUAGUGGGGGAUAACCUGGGGAAACCCAGGCUAAUACCGCAUACGUCCUACGGGAGAAAGCAGGGGCUCUUCGGACCUUGCGCUAUCGGAUGAGCCUAUGUCGGAUUAGCUGGUUGGUGAGGUAAUGGCUCACCAAGGCGACGAUCCGUAGCUGGUCUGAGAGGAUGAUCAGCCACAUCGGGACUGAGACACGGCCCGAACUCCUACGGGAGGCAGCAGUGGGGAAUAUUGGACAAUGGGCGCAAGCCUGAUCUAGCCAUGCCGCGUGUGUGAAGAAGGCCCUCGGGUUGUAAAGCACUUUCAGUGGGGAAGAAAGCCUGGUGGUUAAUACCCGUCAGGAAGGACAUCACCCACAGAAGAAGCACCGGCUAACUCCGUGCCAGCAGCCGCGGUAAUACGGAGGGUGCGAGCGUUAAUCGGAAUUACUGGGGCGUAAAGCGCGCGUAGGUGGCUUGAUAAGCCGGUUGUGAAAGCCCCGGGCUCAACCUGGGAACGGCAUCCGGAACUGUCAGGCUAGAGUGCAGGAGAGGAAGGUAGAAUUUCCCGGUGUAGCGGUGAAAUGCGUAGAGAUCGGGAGGAAUACCAGUGGCGAAGGCGGCCUUCUGGACUGACACUGAACACUGAGGUGGCGAAAGCGGUGGGUAGCAAACAGGAUUAGAUACCCUGCUAGUCCCACGGCCGUAAACGAUGUCGACUAGCCGUUGGGGUCUUCGGGGAACUUGGUGACGCAGUAACCGCGAAUAGUUCGACCGCCUGGGGGGAAGUACG